UGUGUGGUUCACAGACUCGGUAGGCAAGGC
RNAcentral lists this non-coding RNA (30 nucleotides) under Rattus norvegicus (Norway rat). The record is from RNAcentral. Lineage: Eukaryota; Metazoa; Chordata; Mammalia; Rodentia; Muridae.